CAGGAGUUAGUUUUAUUAAAAUAUUGGUUUUGGGGACCAAGGAUAUUUCUAUUCCUUA
Molecule: transfer RNA, 58 nt
Filed under: Sinopodisma houshana
Lineage: Eukaryota; Metazoa; Arthropoda; Insecta; Orthoptera; Acrididae
Description: tRNA-Pro
Source: RNAcentral